Molecule: small nucleolar RNA, 142 nt
Organism: Engraulis encrasicolus (European anchovy)
Lineage: Eukaryota; Metazoa; Chordata; Actinopteri; Clupeiformes; Engraulidae
Product: small nucleolar RNA SNORA79
Exons: 1
Source: RefSeq, a predicted model, not a curated record
UGACGACCGUUCCUCCUGCUGCUCUGAGUUUUGGCAUGUCAGGAUUUUAGGUCGUCACAGAGCAGACGCGGUCUAUUUCACCCAGUGCAUAGCCGGCGGCGGGGCUGCCCUCUGUGCUCUGGUUUUGCGGGACCCAACACUU